This 123-nucleotide microRNA precursor is filed under the name Microtus ochrogaster (prairie vole). Its description in RNAcentral is "miRNA (ENSMOCG00000006733.1)". Lineage: Eukaryota; Metazoa; Chordata; Mammalia; Rodentia; Cricetidae. The record is from RNAcentral.
UUCUCUGUGUAGCCCUGACUGUCCUGGAAUUCACUCUGUAGACCAAGCUGGCCUCUAACUCAGAGAUCCACCUGCCUCUGCCUCCCGAGUGCUGGGAUUAAAGGCGUGCGCCACCAUUGCCCG